This is a long non-coding RNA of Oncorhynchus kisutch (coho salmon), 180 nucleotides long. RefSeq lists it as uncharacterized. NCBI's taxonomy places the organism in Eukaryota, Metazoa, Chordata, Actinopteri, Salmoniformes, Salmonidae. The transcript has 3 exons. The record is from RefSeq and is a predicted model, not a curated record.
UGAGGUGUCAUUAGAUUUGAGGUGGAGUGGGGUAUCAUUAGAUUUGAGGUGUCAUUAGAUUUGAGGUGGAGUGGGGUAUCAUUAGAUUUGAGGUGGAGUGGGGUAUCAUUAGAUUUGGGGUGGAGUGGGGUAUCAUUAGAUUUGAGGUGUCAUUAGAUUUGGGGUGGGGUGAGGUAUCAU